Molecule: ribosomal RNA, 403 nt
Filed under: uncultured bacterium
Lineage: Bacteria
Description: bacterial SSU rRNA
Rfam family: Bacterial small subunit ribosomal RNA
Source: RNAcentral
GGGGAAUAUUGGACAAUGGAGGUAACUCUGAUCCAGCAAUUCUGUGUGCACGAAGAAGGUCUUCGGAUUGUAAAGUGCUUUAAGUUGGGAAGAAAAAAAUGACGGUACCAACAGAAUAAGCGACGGCUAAAUACGUGCCAGCAGCCGCGGUAAUACGUAUGUCGCAAGCGUUAUCCGGAAUUAUUGGGCAUAAAGGGCAUCUAGGCGGGGUUUCAAGUCGACGGUGAAAACUAGUGGCUCAACCAUUAGCUUGCCGACGAAACUGAAAUUCUAGAGUAUUGGAAAGGUGGGCGGAACUACAUGAGUAGAGGUGAAAUUCGUAGAUAUAUGUAGGAAUGCCGAUGACGAAGGUAGCUCACUGGACAAAAACUGACGCUGAAGUGCGAAAGCUAGGGGAGCAAAC